AUACGAAAGGUGCAAGCGUUGUUCGGAUUUACUGGGCGUAAAGAGAGUGUAGGUUGUUUAUUAAGUCGGAUGUGAAAUCCCGGGGCUCAACCUCGGAACUGCAUUCGAUACUGGUAGACUAGAGUUCGGGAGGGGUAAGCGGAAUUCCGUGUGUAGCAGUGAAAUGCGUAGAUAUACGGAGGAACACCUGAGGCGAAGGCGGCUUACUGGACCGAUACUGACACUGAGACUCGAAAGCGUGGGUAGCAAACAGAAUUAGAAACCCGAGUAGUCC
RNAcentral lists this ribosomal RNA (274 nucleotides) under uncultured bacterium. Its description in RNAcentral is "partial 16S ribosomal RNA". It matches the Rfam family "Bacterial small subunit ribosomal RNA", at positions 523 to 796 of the family's 1533-position model. The record is from RNAcentral.